CACUCUCAAGCGCGGCUUGGAUUUGAAUCACUGUUGCGGCAGGAUUCCAAUAGUGUCGGCAAUUGACCAUCUGUGAUGACUCACAUCGAGUUGAUUCGCCUGUCUACUUCUUUC
RNAcentral lists this unclassified non-coding RNA (114 nucleotides) under uncultured Diversisporales. Its description in RNAcentral is "sequence contains ITS2". The record is from RNAcentral. Lineage: Eukaryota; Fungi; Glomeromycota; Glomeromycetes; Diversisporales.